GACGAACGCUGGCGGCGUGCCUAAUACAUGCAAGUAGGACGCACAGUUUAUACCGUAGCUUGCUACACCAUAGACUGUGAGUUGCGAACGGGUGAGUAACGCGUAGGUAACCUGCCUAUUAGAGGGGGAUAACUAUUGGAAACGAUAGCUAAUACCGCAUAACAGUAUGUAACACAUGUUAGAUGCUUGAAAGAUGCAAUUGCAUCGCUAGUAGAUGGACCUGCGUUGUAUUAGCUAGUAGGUAGGGUAAUGGCCUACCUAGGCGACGAUACAUAGCCGACCUGAGAGGGUGAUCGGCCACACUGGGACUGAGACACGGCCCAGACUCCUACGGGAGGCAGCAGUAGGGAAUCUUCGGCAAUGGGGGGAACCCUGACCGAGCAACGCCGCGUGAGUGAAGAAGGUUUUCGGAUCGUAAAGCUCUGUUGUUAAGGAAGAACGAGUGUGAGAAUGGAAAGUUCAUACUGUGACGGUACUUAACCAGAAAGGACGGCUAACUAC
RNAcentral lists this ribosomal RNA (501 nucleotides) under Streptococcus anginosus. Its description in RNAcentral is "bacterial SSU rRNA". It matches the Rfam family "Bacterial small subunit ribosomal RNA", at positions 28 to 504 of the family's 1533-position model. Lineage: Bacteria; Bacillati; Bacillota; Bacilli; Lactobacillales; Streptococcaceae. The record is from RNAcentral.